Long non-coding RNA from Danaus plexippus (monarch butterfly), 2541 nucleotides. RefSeq lists it as uncharacterized. The record is from RefSeq and is a predicted model, not a curated record. NCBI's taxonomy places the organism in Eukaryota, Metazoa, Arthropoda, Insecta, Lepidoptera, Nymphalidae. The transcript has 2 exons.
UUGAGAUGACAAACGUAAAUUACAAAAAAAAAUAUCACUGUGUUGUAACUGAGCAAUGUAUUUUAAACUCGUUAAUAAGACUCAAAUAUCAGAAAAAAUAUGCGCGAACGAGUGAAAAUACAAAUACACUUUUCAGGGUCACUUGUUGACAGCCAAGUCGAACCCUGAAUAGUUCCUUCCACUCUACCCCUACCCCUCGACCGGCGACAUGCGACAUGCGAUAGACAAGUAAUUUUGAGACGGUACUGCGGUGUAACCAUCACGGAUAGUGUCCAGUGUCCAGAAGUGUAUUUCCUUAACCGAAUGCGUAAUUUUCUAGUUUGAACUAUUAAAACCUCAGUGCUGUGUGGCACCUGUGUGCUGUUUAAUAUACAAUUCUGCUUUGUGUUGAUUAAAAGAUAGUAAAACUGAUAUUUGUUUAGGCGGGGGACGUCACGUGCUGUGUUCUAGAAACUUGUUUAUGACAGACGAUUAUAAAAUGGAGAGGAAUACUCAUAAAAUGCGUCAGAGCAGUAAACAAUACAUUAAUAUACAAUAACAGCGUUAUGAGGUUGUAUGACGGUGCAUAUUGUUAUGCUGAACCGUUAUGAUUUUUACUUUUUUUAAAUUAAGCCGAAUUUUUAAUCUCAUGACAGUUUUCUCUACAUGAUUACCACUAAAAUGAAUGUUUCCUUGUCCCUGUCAGGAACAAUAUAAACACGCUCACCACAAACAUAAGGGUUAACAAUCAUCCUUUUCGCUUCAAUGACUUCUCCCUAGUUGAGUACCAAAGUCAAACACACCGAGGCCGAGACACACGCACCGCGCGAAACAUUCCUCAAUAUAGUUUGACUGGAAGCAGAUCCGAACCCAACAACAGUUAUGUAACGAACUUUUUUUGCUCUAACUAUUUACAGCUAUUUUUGAGAUCGUGGUUACCAUCAACUUGUGCACAAAGGUGAGAUAAUUGAGCGAGCGACACGCUCCGCUACACUCCUCAGGCCCCGCCCUCCCAGGUCCUCGCCGCUCAGUCAGUCCACGACGGUCCACACGGGUACAAGUCAGCAGUAUUCAUUGUAUUAUUUAAAUAUUCCGUUAUCAGCGAGGACUAUUAAGAUCUACCCAUAUCAUAUUACAGACGUCUGUUCCUGAACCUCCGAGGGGAGAGAAACACAGACGAGUCUAUACCAGAUGGCAAUAUUUACUUAUUUGUUUGAUUAAAGGCUGUGGUGUAGUAUUAUGUAUUAUUUGUAUGUGAUUUUGAAUAAAUAUUGCGAGUGUUUUAGUUUCAUUUGACACCUUCCCACGAGUUAGUGUGCGCACACGAUACGGUUAAGCCCUUGGUCAAAUACAGAUAUCACUAUAAUAAUUAAGGAGAUUAUGAAAGGUAGAAAGGAAAUCAUCACAAUGAAUUACAACAAAGAAAGUAUUAUAAAGAUGAAUUUGUUACGGAUAUAGAAAAUAUAUCGUUGAAAAAUAUGGGAUGAACGUGUGAGGAUAACCUAAUUUAAACUUCCAUGUGAUCGUAUAUUUCCACAAUGCAAUGAAAUAAUUAACAUGUUAACAGGAAAUAAUACAAAAAAAUAUGAUACGCUAGAUGUUAUGAAAAACACCACACAUCAUUAGAGGGGAAGUAAAAAAAAUAAUGAAACAGAUGACGUCACGACCUGUAGCAACAAUAAGGUUGCAAGUAAUAAUGAAGAUAAUACUCGAGAGAGAGAGAAAACUACUCCGCAGAGGAGAAUAUACGAUUAUGAUUAUGACGAAGACCUGUUUAAUAAAAUCUAGUAGCAUGGUAAGUACUAAGCUUUGAGUUGUAAACAGUUUACCAGAAAGUCAGGAAAACCAAACGAGCUAGUUCUAAUCUUGCAAUGAAUCAAUGCUAACUUGAAAACUCGUGACACUCUAGUUAGAAAUACGUGUGUAUGCUUAGGACGAGUUUGCUUCUUAACACUACAAGCGAUGCGUUUUCUCUUUCACAUUCAAUAGAUUACGGUAAUACUGUAAUGUGAGGAGACGCUUCAAUGAAAACUCUUAACACUUCGUGUGUAGUGAGAUAAUGCCGAGUUGGACCGAGCACGCUGGACUAAAUAGUUAUAUUUGCACAAUAAUCUUAACAAAUACUGCGUCAUAUGCUCAUAUUUAUAGCGAAUAGUCUGUUAUUAAGGAAGGAAAACAAGAUACGAGAUAAAACAUUUUGUUUAAAAAACCUUAAACUUUUUUUACAUCUUGAGUAUGUCGUAACGUUUCAACGAAUAUCGCGAGUGGCGAUUUUUUUUUGACAGCUGACCGCGACUGAGUUCAUGGAACUCUGUAUUAUUUAUAGUAUUUCGUACACCAGUCAUCAGGGAGUCGAGGGACCAGUUCACGUCUCCCCGUCAGGAGUACUGUGAAGGUGAUUCGGUUCGUAUGCCUAUCAUAGUUACAAAUAUUACGUAGUUUGAGAGUGUGAAACACUUUGUAUGCUAACUGUGUAAAGAGUUUAUGUAACGAUUCGUGUACAAUAAUAUUAUAUGUUGGAGGAAUUUGAAUAAGAAAAAGAAAUAUAUUGAAAUAUAAUAA